RNAcentral lists this ribosomal RNA (387 nucleotides) under uncultured bacterium. RNAcentral describes it as "bacterial SSU rRNA". It matches the Rfam family "Bacterial small subunit ribosomal RNA", at positions 30 to 420 of the family's 1533-position model. The record is from RNAcentral.
AUUGAACGCUGGCGGAAUGCUUUACACAUGCAAGUCGAACGGCAGCACGGGGCAACCUGGUGGCGAGUGGCGAACGGGUGAGUAAUACAUCGGAACGUGCCCAAUCGUGGGGAUAACGUAGCGAAAGUUACGCUAAUACCGCAUACGAUCUACGGAUGAAAGCGGGGGAUCGCAAGACCUCGCGCGAGUGGAGCGGCCGAUGUCAGAUUAGGUAGUUGGUGGGGUAAAGGCUCACCAAGCCAACGAUCUGUAGCUGGUCUGAGAGGACGACCAGCCACACUGGAACUGAGACACGGUCCAGACUCCUACGGGAGGCAGCAGUGGGGAAUUUUGGACAAUGGGCGCAAGCCUGAUCCAGCCAUUCCGCGUGCAGGAUGAAGGCCUCGG